RNAcentral lists this ribosomal RNA (558 nucleotides) under Curtobacterium sp. RzW35. Its description in RNAcentral is "bacterial SSU rRNA". It matches the Rfam family "Bacterial small subunit ribosomal RNA", at positions 114 to 687 of the family's 1533-position model. The record is from RNAcentral. Lineage: Bacteria; Bacillati; Actinomycetota; Actinomycetes; Micrococcales; Microbacteriaceae.
CACGUGAGUAACCUGCCCCUGACUCUGGGAUAAGCGUUGGAAACGACGUCUAAUACUGGAUACGACUGCCGGCCGCAUGGUCUGGUGGUGGAAAGAUUUUUUGGUUGGGGAUGGACUCGCGGCCUAUCAGCUUGUUGGUGAGGUAAUGGCUCACCAAGGCGACGACGGGUAGCCGGCCUGGAGGGUGACCGGCCACACUGGGACUGAGACACGGCCCAGACUCCUACGGGAGGCAGCAGUGGGGAAUAUUGCACAAUGGGCGAAAGCCUGAUGCAGCAACGCCGCGUGAGGGAUGACGGCCUUCGGGUUGUAAACCUCUUUUAGUAGGGAAGAAGCGAAAGUGACGGUACCUGCAGAAAAAGCACCGGCUAACUACGUGCCAGCAGCCGCGGUAAUACGUAGGGUGCAAGCGUUGUCCGGAAUUAUUGGGCGUAAAGAGUCGUAGGCGGUUUGUCGCGUCUGCUGUGAAAUCCCGAGGCUCAACCUCGGGCUUGCAGUGGGUACGGGCAGACUAGAGUGCGGUAGGGGAGAUUGGAAUUCCUGGUGUAGCGGUGGAAU